Molecule: ribosomal RNA, 497 nt
Filed under: uncultured bacterium
Lineage: Bacteria
Description: partial 16S ribosomal RNA
Rfam family: Bacterial small subunit ribosomal RNA
Source: RNAcentral
GAUGAACGCUGGCGGCGUGCCUAAUACAUGCAAGUCGAGCGAACGGACGAGAAGCUUGCUUCUCUGAUGUUAGCGGCGGACGGGUGAGUAACACGUGGAUAACCUACCUAUAAGACUGGGAUAACUUCGGGAAACCGGAGCUAAUACCGGAUGAUAUUUUGAACCGCAUGGUUCAAAAGUGAAAGACGGUCUUGCUGUCACUUAUAGAUGGAUCCGCGCUGCAUUAGCUAGUUGGUAAGGUAACGGCUUACCAAGGCAACGAUGCAUAGCCGACCGGAGAGGGGGGUCGCUCACACAAGAGCUGAGACAUGGUGCAGACUCAUACAGGAGGCAGCCGUCAGGAAUCUUCCGCAGUGGGCGGAAACCUGACGGAGCAACGCCGCGGGAGACAUGAACUUCUUCUGAUCGUAAAACUCUGUUAUUAGGGAAGAACAUAUGUGUAAGUAACUGUGCUCAUCUUGACGGUACCUAAUCAGAAGACAGCGGCUAACUACGUG